This 232-nucleotide unclassified non-coding RNA is filed under the name uncultured fungus. RNAcentral describes it as "sequence contains ITS1". The record is from RNAcentral. Lineage: Eukaryota; Fungi.
UAUUGUAUUGCGUUAAACGCGUCAUGCAUUCCAUGAAACUUUAUUACAGUGUGUGUGUAAAAGACAUAGAACCACGGCGAGAGGACAAAGCCCCUCGGACCAUAGAACUACAGAGGGUGCACAGGUGUGAGUGGAUGUGUGAACAGAGCGUGCACAUGCCCCCGUUUGAGGACCAGCAACAACUCGUGUUGACAAUUCGGUAAUGAUCCUUCCGCAGGUUCACCUACGGAAA